GGCUGAUCAGGCAGAACAUGAUUUUUUCAUCUGUACACUGAUUUUAACUCCUUGGGCUUCAGAAGAAUUACUCUUGGUUUAUUCUGGUGAGAGCUGGAGAGGCAGCUGAUUUUCUACCCUAGGAUUAAUCUCUAGUCCUUCAAUUCGUGAUUGCAGCAUUUUCCUUCAACAGUUGUAAGAUAGUCCUACAUUUCAGAACUGUAUUUCAGUUAUCUUGUAGCUGGAUUCCACUAUCUUCUGCUUUCUUCCCUUUGAAAUGGAAUGUUGAAAAAACUAGUUUUGAGAACACCUUUCCAAUGUCAAAGAUUAGAUUUUCUCCCCAGCACAAAGGACUUUGUUCCAUGGCUGCAGUACUAGUGGAGCUGCUGCUGUACAAAGCAAAUAGCAUUGGGUGAGAAGCUGCACCAAACACUCACGGGGGUAACGUUUGUGCCGUGCUGACAGACGUCUUGGAGACCACCAUCUGCUCAAGCCAUGUGUCACCCACGGCACCCAGCAAUG
Passer montanus (Eurasian tree sparrow) is the source of this 501-nucleotide long non-coding RNA. RefSeq lists it as uncharacterized. Lineage: Eukaryota; Metazoa; Chordata; Aves; Passeriformes; Passeridae. The record is from RefSeq and is a predicted model, not a curated record. The transcript has 3 exons.